GGGUUGUGAGGUUAAGCGACUAAGCGUACACGGUGGAUGCCCUGGCAGUCAGAGGCGAUGAAGGACGUGCUAAUCUGCGAUAAGCGUCGGUAAGGUGAUAUGAACCGUUAUAACCGGCGAUUUCCGAAUGGGGAAACCCAGUGUGUUUCGACACACUAUCAUUAACUGAAUCCAUAGGUUAAUGAGGCGAACCGGGGGAACUGAAACAUCUAAGUACCCCGAGGAAAAGAAAUCAACCGAGAUUCCCCCAGUAGCGGCGAGCGAACGGGGAGCAGCCCAGAGCCUGAAUCAGUAUGUGUGUUAGUGGAAGCGUCUGGAAAGGCGCGCGAUACAGGGUGACAGCCCCGUACACAAAAAUGCACAUAUUGUGAGCUCGAUGAGUAGGGCGGGACACGUGGUAUCCUGUCUGAAUAUGGGGGGACCAUCCUCCAAGGCUAAAUACUCCUGACUGACCGAUAGUGAACCAGUACCGUGAGGGAAAGGCGAAAAGAACCCCGGCGAGGGGAGUGAAAAAGAACCUGAAACCGUGUACGUACAAGCAGUGGGAGCACGCUUAGGCGUGUGACUGCGUACCUUUUGUAUAAUGGGUCAGCGACUUAUAUUCUGUAGCAAGGUUAACCGAAUAGGGGAGCCGAAGGGAAACCGAGUCUUAACUGGGCGUUAAGUUGCAGGGUAUAGACCCGAAACCCGGUGAUCUAGCCAUGGGCAGGUUGAAGGUUGGGUAACACUAACUGGAGGACCGAACCGACUAAUGUUGAAAAAUUAGCGGAUGACUUGUGGCUGGGGGUGAAAGGCCAAUCAAACCGGGAGAUAGCUGGUUCUCCCCGAAAGCUAUUUAGGUAGCGCCUCGUGAAUUCAUCUCCGGGGGUAGAGCACUGUUUCGGCAAGGGGGUCAUCCCGACUUACCAACCCGAUGCAAACUGCGAAUACCGGAGAAUGUUAUCACGGGAGACACACGGCGGGUGCUAACGUCCGUCGUGAAGAGGGAAACAACCCAGACCGCCAGCUAAGGUCCCAAAGUCAUGGUUAAGUGGGAAACGAUGUGGGAAGGCCCAGACAGCCAGGAUGUUGGCUUAGAAGCAGCCAUCAUUUAAAGAAAGCGUAAUAGCUCACUGGUCGAGUCGGCCUGCGCGGAAGAUGUAACGGGGCUAAACCAUGCACCGAAGCUGCGGCAGCGACGCUGAUGCGUUGUUGGGUAGGGGAGCGUUCUGUAAGCCUGCGAAGGUGUGCUGUGAGGCAUGCUGGAGGUAUCAGAAGUGCGAAUGCUGACAUAAGUAACGAUAAAGCGGGUGAAAAGCCCGCUCGCCGGAAGACCAAGGGUUCCUGUCCAACGUUAAUCGGGGCAGGGUGAGUCGACCCCUAAGGCGAGGCCGAAAGGCGUAGUCGAUGGGAAACAGGUUAAUAUUCCUGUACUUGGUGUUACUGCGAAGGGGGGACGGAGAAGGCUAUGUUGGCCGGGCGACGGUUGUCCCGGUUUAAGCGUGUAGGCUGGUUUUCCAGGCAAAUCCGGAAAAUCAAGGCUGAGGCGUGAUGACGAGGCACUACGGUGCUGAAGCAACAAAUGCCCUGCUUCCAGGAAAAGCCUCUAAGCAUCAGGUAACAUCAAAUCGUACCCCAAACCGACACAGGUGGUCAGGUAGAGAAUACCAAGGCGCUUGAGAGAACUCGGGUGAAGGAACUAGGCAAAAUGGUGCCGUAACUUCGGGAGAAGGCACGCUGAUAUGUAGGUGAAGUCCCUCGCGGAUGGAGCUGAAAUCAGUCGAAGAUACCAGCUGGCUGCAACUGUUUAUUAAAAACACAGCACUGUGCAAACACGAAAGUGGACGUAUACGGUGUGACGCCUGCCCGGUGCCGGAAGGUUAAUUGAUGGGGUCAGCGCAAGCGAAGCUCUUGAUCGAAGCCCCGGUAAACGGCGGCCGUAACUAUAACGGUCCUAAGGUAGCGAAAUUCCUUGUCGGGUAAGUUCCGACCUGCACGAAUGGCGUAAUGAUGGCCAGGCUGUCUCCACCCGAGACUCAGUGAAAUUGAACUCGCUGUGAAGAUGCAGUGUACCCGCGGCAAGACGGAAAGACCCCGUGAACCUUUACUAUAGCUUGACACUGAACAUUGAGCCUUGAUGUGUAGGAUAGGUGGGAGGCUUUGAAGUGUGGACGCCAGUCUGCAUGGAGCCGACCUUGAAAUACCACCCUUUAAUGUUUGAUGUUCUAACGUUGACCCGUAAUCCGGGUUGCGGACAGUGUCUGGUGGGUAGUUUGACUGGGGCGGUCUCCUCCUAAAGAGUAACGGAGGAGCACGAAGGUUGGCUAAUCCUGGUCGGACAUCAGGAGGUUAGUGCAAUGGCAUAAGCCAGCUUGACUGCGAGCGUGACGGCGCGAGCAGGUGCGAAAGCAGGUCAUAGUGAUCCGGUGGUUCUGAAUGGAAGGGCCAUCGCUCAACGGAUAAAAGGUACUCCGGGGAUAACAGGCUGAUACCGCCCAAGAGUUCAUAUCGACGGCGGUGUUUGGCACCUCGAUGUCGGCUCAUCACAUCCUGGGGCUGAAGUAGGUCCCAAGGGUAUGGCUGUUCGCCAUUUAAAGUGGUACGCGAGCUGGGUUUAGAACGUCGUGAGACAGUUCGGUCCCUAUCUGCCGUGGGCGCUGGAGAACUGAGGGGGGCUGCUCCUAGUACGAGAGGACCGGAGUGGACGCAUCACUGGUGUUCGGGUUGUCAUGCCAAUGGCACUGCCCGGUAGCUAAAUGCGGAAGAGAUAAGUGCUGAAAGCAUCUAAGCACGAAACUUGCCCCGAGAUGAGUUCUCCCUGACUCCUUGAGAGUCCUGAAGGAACGUUGAAGACGACGACGUUGAUAGGCCGGGUGUGUAAGCGCAGCGAUGCGUUGAGCUAACCGGUACUAAUGAACCGUGAGGCUUAACCUUACAACGCCGAAGGUGUUU
Molecule: ribosomal RNA, 2931 nt
Filed under: Escherichia coli
Lineage: Bacteria; Pseudomonadati; Pseudomonadota; Gammaproteobacteria; Enterobacterales; Enterobacteriaceae
Description: 23S ribosomal RNA
Rfam family: Bacterial large subunit ribosomal RNA
Source: RNAcentral